AUCUUUGCGCUUGGGGGCAAUGACGCAGCUAGUGAGGUAUUAACCGAGGCGCGUCAAUUGCUGGUUGAAAACUAUCUCCAAACCUCUCUUCGGCCUUGGGUUCCUCUUGAGACGGCUCCCUUUACAAGGGCAAGGCUUUACAAUACAGUUAGAAUAAAUAUUUGAGUAAUCAAUAUAUAAAAAGGGUCAACCUUACAUGAGGUUUUGAU
This is a small nuclear RNA of Macadamia integrifolia, 209 nucleotides long. RefSeq annotates it as U4 spliceosomal RNA. The record is from RefSeq and is a predicted model, not a curated record. The transcript has a single exon. Lineage: Eukaryota; Viridiplantae; Streptophyta; Magnoliopsida; Proteales; Proteaceae.